CCCUUAGAUGUUCUGGGCUGCACGCGCGCUACACUGAUGCACUCAACGAGUUUACGACCUUGCCCGAUAGGGUUGGGUAAUCUUUUUAAAAUGCAUCGUGAUGGGGAUAGAUUAUCGCAAUUAUUAAUCUUCAACGAGGAAUUCCUAGUAAGCGCGAGUCAUCAGCUCGUGCUGAUUACGUCCCUGCCCUUUGUACACACCGCCCGUCGCUCCUACCGAUUGAGUGCUCAGGUGAAUAAUUCGGACUGCAGCAAUGUUUGGAUCCCGAACGUUGCAGCGGAAAGUUUAGUGAACCUUAUCACUUAGAGGAAGGAGAAGUCGUAACA
Molecule: ribosomal RNA, 326 nt
Filed under: uncultured eukaryote
Lineage: Eukaryota
Description: partial 18S ribosomal RNA
Rfam family: Eukaryotic small subunit ribosomal RNA
Source: RNAcentral